AGUCGAGCGGAUGAGAGGAGCUUGCUCCUGGAUUCAGCGGCGGACGGGUGAGUAAUGCCUAGGARUCUGCCUGGUAGUGGGGGACAACGUUUCGAAAGGAACGCUAAUACCGCAUACGUCCUACGGGAGAAAGCAGGGGACCUUCGGGCCUUGCGCUAUCAGAUGAGCCUAGGUCGGAKUAKMUAKUUGUGUGUAGAGUGUAAGUGGYUCACCAAGGCGACGAUCCGUAACUGGUCUGAGAGGAUGAUCAGUCACACUGGAACUGAGACACGGUCCAGACUCCUACGGGAGGCAGCAGUGGGGAAUAUUGGACAAUGGGCGARAGCCUGAUCCAGCCAUGCCGCGUGUGUGAARAAGGUCUUCGGAUUGUAAAGCACUUUAAGUUGGGAGGAAGGGYUGUAGAUUAAUACUCUGCRRUUUUGACGUUACCGASAGAAUAAGCACCGGCUAACUCUGUGCCAGCAKCCGCGGUAAUACAGAGGKUGCAAGCGUUAAUCCCGAAUUACUGGGCGUAAAGCGCGCGUACGUGGUUUGUUAAGUUGSAUGUGAAAUCCCCKGGCUCAACCUGKKAACUGCRUCC
This 580-nucleotide ribosomal RNA is filed under the name Pseudomonas sp. P35. RNAcentral describes it as "partial 16S ribosomal RNA". It matches the Rfam family "Bacterial small subunit ribosomal RNA", at positions 60 to 628 of the family's 1533-position model. The record is from RNAcentral. Lineage: Bacteria; Pseudomonadati; Pseudomonadota; Gammaproteobacteria; Pseudomonadales; Pseudomonadaceae.